UUUGAAGUCCGAAGAUACAUU
Molecule: non-coding RNA, 21 nt
Filed under: Caenorhabditis elegans
Lineage: Eukaryota; Metazoa; Nematoda; Chromadorea; Rhabditida; Rhabditidae
Source: RNAcentral